Molecule: ribosomal RNA, 253 nt
Filed under: uncultured bacterium
Lineage: Bacteria
Description: partial 16S ribosomal RNA
Rfam family: Bacterial small subunit ribosomal RNA
Source: RNAcentral
UACGUAGGGUCCGAGCGUUGUCCGGAAUUAUUGGGCGUAAAGAGCUCGUAGGCGGUUCGUCGCGUCUGCUGUGAAAUCCCGAGGCUCAACCUCGGGCCUGCAGUGGGUACGGGCAGACUGGAGUGCGGUAGGGGAGAAUGGAAUUCCUGGUGUAGCGGUGGAAUGCGCAGAUAUCAGGAGGAACACCGAUGGCGAAGGCAGUUCUCUGGGCCGUAACUGACGCUGAGGAGCGAAAGCGUGGGGAGCGAACAGG